This 497-nucleotide ribosomal RNA is filed under the name uncultured bacterium. RNAcentral describes it as "partial 16S ribosomal RNA". It matches the Rfam family "Bacterial small subunit ribosomal RNA", at positions 28 to 507 of the family's 1533-position model. The record is from RNAcentral.
GAUGAACGCUGGCGGCGUGCCUAAUACAUGCAAGUCGAGCGAACAGACGAGGAGCUUGCUCCUCUGACGUUAGCGGCGGACGGGUGAGUAACACGUGGAUAACCUACCUAUAAGACUGGGAUAACUUCGGGAAACCGGAGCUAAUACCGGAUAAUAUAUUGAACCGCAUGGUUCAAUAGUGAAAGACGGUUUUGCUGUCACUUAUAGAUGGAUCCGCGCCGCAUUAGCUAGUUGGUAAGGUAACAGCUUACCAAGGCAACGAUGCGUAGCCGACCUGAGAGGGUGAUCGGCCACACUGGAACUGAGACACGGUCCAGACUCCUACGGGAGGCAGCAGUAGUGAAUCUUCCGCAAUGGGCGAAAGCCUGACGGAGCAACGCCGCGUGAGUGAUGAAGGUCUUCGGAUCGUAAAACUCUGUUAUUAGGGAAGAACAAAUGUGUAAGUAACUAUGCACGUCUUGACGGUACCUAAUCAGAAAGCCACGGCUGACUACGUG